GAUUUUAGCGGCGGACGGGUGAGUAACACGUGGGCAACCUACCUUGUAGAUUGGGAUAACUCCGGGAAACCGGGGCUAAUACCGAAUAAUCCAUUUUGCUUCAUGGCGAAAUGUUAAAAGGCGGCUUCGGCUGUCACUGCAAGAUGGGCCCGCGGCGCAUUAGCUAGUUGGUAAGGUAAUGGCUUACCAAGGCGACGAUGCGUAGCCGACCUGAGAGGGUGAUCGGCCACACUGGGACUGAGACACGGCCCAGACUCCUACGGGAGGCAGCAGUAGGGAAUCUUCCACAAUGGACGAAAGUCUGAUGGAGCAACGCCGCGUGAGUGAAGAAGGUUUUCGGAUCGUAAAACUCUGUUGUAAGGGAAGAACACGUACGAGAGUAACUGCUCGUACCUUGACGGUACCUUAUUAGAAAGCCACGGCUAACUACGUGCCAGCAGCCGCGGUAAUACGUAGGUGGCAAGCGUUGUCCGGAAUUAUUGGGCGUAAAGCGCGCGCAGGCGGUCCUUUAAGUCUGAUGUGAAAGCCCACGGCUCAACCGUGG
RNAcentral lists this ribosomal RNA (544 nucleotides) under uncultured Paenisporosarcina sp. RNAcentral describes it as "bacterial SSU rRNA". It matches the Rfam family "Bacterial small subunit ribosomal RNA", at positions 88 to 618 of the family's 1533-position model. The record is from RNAcentral. Lineage: Bacteria; Bacillati; Bacillota; Bacilli; Caryophanales; Caryophanaceae.